Molecule: long non-coding RNA, 332 nt
Filed under: Nicotiana benthamiana
Lineage: Eukaryota; Viridiplantae; Streptophyta; Magnoliopsida; Solanales; Solanaceae
Description: long non-coding RNA (NBEN_LNC028389)
Source: RNAcentral
CUACCUUGAAACCCUUAGUCUCUCAAAGCUCACCCAAGCUCUCCGAAACCCUAGCAGUCUCCUACCUCGUUUAUCACGAUUCCACCGGAAUCCAUGGCGUUCCAGGCCAUGAAUGACUCAUGCUCGCCCUCUCUCACCAUCAAAUUCAAGUUUUUCAAUGAUUUGAAGCCCGAAUAUGAUGGUUCCCUUUAGAUCUAUCUCAUAUCUGCAAGAACUAUGGCCUCUCCCGUCAGGAUCCAAUUUUCUUCAAGACCUACUCAUGCUAGGGUCUUCCUUGUCAUUUUUAUGGUUCUUCAGUUGUCUAUUUCUUUCAGAUAUGCGAUGUAUUUGGU